GUGAGUGUAGCUCAGCAGUUAGAGCGCCUGCCUGUGGAGCAGGAAGUCGGGGGUGCGAAUCCCCUCACUCACCCCA
This 76-nucleotide transfer RNA is filed under the name Candidatus Amesiibacteriota bacterium. RNAcentral's name for it is "Candidatus Amesbacteria bacterium (sediment metagenome) tRNA-His". It matches the Rfam family "tRNA". From Rfam's summary of the family: Transfer RNA (tRNA) molecules are approximately 80 nucleotides in length. Their secondary structure includes four short double-helical elements and three loops (D, anti-codon, and T loops). The record is from RNAcentral. Lineage: Bacteria; Candidatus Amesiibacteriota.